RNAcentral lists this long non-coding RNA (2171 nucleotides) under Mus musculus (house mouse). RNAcentral's name for it is "long non-coding RNA chr14:122534459-122536630". The record is from RNAcentral. Lineage: Eukaryota; Metazoa; Chordata; Mammalia; Rodentia; Muridae.
GUGAGCAGAACCGGGCUCGCGUGGGCCUGCUUGCUCCGGGUUCCCAGGCGACACCCGCGGUUCAUCCCGGCUGCCCCAGGCCCGGGCCCUGACCAGGCUGCACUCACACUCUGUCCUGCCACUGGGCAUCUCUUGAACGCGCAUAUCCGAGGGACAGGCUUAAGUGGUCCGAGCUUUACCUGCACUCCUUCGGGAUGGCCUUCGGGCUUGCAUCCCAGAGUCUCGCGGUGCUGGUUUCUCCUGCAGCUUUCUAGAGAGCCCUUGUUAAGAGUCCACAUGUUCUUUUGCUGUCUUUGCAACGACUUUGAAGGGGCAUCAUGAAUUGCUGUUUGAAUAGUUAAGGCUGUGAGUUUGAAAAUACUGUGCUAAGUCAAGAUUGUUAACAGAGCACACGUGUGACUUGAAAUCCUGCUUAAACUGUAUGACACCAUUGUAACGCGUGAGAAAUGCACCGUCUGAAUUUAUUUUUCUUCCUAAGAACUGCUUAGCCUGAUUAGAAACUGUGGUUCACCCUGGAUGUCAUGGUGACAUUUUGACUCACAGAUUGGGAAUUCGUGUUAACCUCCUUUCUCCUUCCAUAUGGGAUAUAUUGAAUGCCUUGCCAGCAUUGACUUCCCCAACUUUUAAAGUACACUUACUAAUUCACUUGAGCAGAUUUCUUAAAAAUGAAUGACCCCUGAAAACCCCUUGAAAGCUGGUUGAGUGUGCCUGCUAAUCUUCCCUGCCGUGCAAUCAUGUGUAGUGCUGUGUGCACCUGUAAUCACAGCAUUGGAAAGGCUGAGGAUUGUGAGUUUAAGGCCAGGCUCAAAUCCUUCCCUAUCUCUCAGUAGAAAAAGUUAAAAAUUUAUUUUCUACAGCGUUUGGUUUAUGGUCAUUGAAAUUUGAGUUGAUAUGAUCUGCCUCUUUUAAAAAAUUUUUUUUUAUUUUUUAUUUAUUUAUUUUUUUGAGAAACAUGUUUCUCUGUGUAGCCCUGGCUAUUCUGGAACACUCUGUGUAGAGCAGUCUGGUCUCAAAGCCACAGAGAUCUCCCUGCCUCUUGACUCCUGAGUGUAGAGUGUACUGCUGUGCUCAGCCUUUUACUCUUUUUAAGGAAAUGCAAACAGGCCCACUUAGGCAGUGUGAGCUGGAAGGUUCUCCCUUGUGUCAGCCUUGAAAAGUUGGCUCUCAUUGUUCUUUGUAAUGCCACACGGAUUUUGUUCCUUAACUUUUAUCAUCCUGUAAUCACUUAAUCUUCAUUUGCUCUUGCUAAGACUUUUACACAUUUUCUUAUGAAAUUACCUGCAGUGAGAAGGUAAGGUCUUUGGAGUCACAUUUUCUAUAUUUCUUCUUCUGUGGGGUUUGUUUUCUUGAGACAGGACCUCACUUAGCCUAGCUUGGUCUCAAAUUUGCUGUGUACUGGAGGAAGAUUUUGGUCUCCUGGCCCCACCCCAGGGCUGAGGACUGAGCCUGAGGCCUUGUACUUGUUAUACAAGUACUCUGCCUUGGAGCUAAAUCCUCAACCCCUGCUCUACUUUCCAAAUGCUGGCAUUAUAGGUAUUCACCACCACACCAGGGUUGGAUAUUAUAUAUUGGAUAUGUGCUUUUUUUAGAUAGUUUCUUACAAACAAAUCUUGACUGAAUUCCUCCUGUGUAGGGGGUGAGUACAGUUUCAAGUGUUUAUGAAAUUUCAUCUAGUAGUUAAGCAAUAACUUUAAAAGGCUGUUGAGAAGUUUUGGUGGUGAAAUAAAAUAAAAUAGACUGAGUUGACCAAGUCCAUAUUUUGACCUUAUGCCCUAGGCAACUAUUGCAAAUUAAGCCAUUCAGUCCUCAUAUUAAGCACAUAACACCACUUACAGAAGAUGGACUCAAGUCCCGAAAUGUUAGAUGACUUGCUUAAAGCCAUAGAACUAGUAAGUGUCAGUCUAGGCCUGGUACAUUGAGGCAGAGCUGUACCACUGAGCUACACUGCCAGCUUCCUAGAAACAGUCAAUACUCUUAUUUAUAUCAUGCUACUUAAGUUAAACAUUGUUUCAACAAGGGUCAGUUAGAUGGCUCAGUGGGCAAGGGCCAUUGUUACAAAACCCUGGUGACUUGGGUUCACACUUGGAACCCAAACAAAGGUGGAAGGAAAGAAUUGAUUCCACAAGGUUGUGCUCUGACCUCUACCAUAUACACAACCAUAAUAAAAUAGC